GGAGAGUUGGCCGAGUGGUCGAAGGCGCACGCCUGGAAAGUGUGUAAACCUCAAAAGGGUUUCGAGAGUUCGAAUCUCUCACUCUCCGCCA
RNAcentral lists this transfer RNA (91 nucleotides) under Bacteroidales bacterium. Its description in RNAcentral is "tRNA-Ser". It matches the Rfam family "tRNA". From Rfam's summary of the family: Transfer RNA (tRNA) molecules are approximately 80 nucleotides in length. Their secondary structure includes four short double-helical elements and three loops (D, anti-codon, and T loops). Further hydrogen bonds mediate the characteristic L-shaped molecular structure. tRNAs have two regions of fundamental functional importance: the anti-codon, which is responsible for specific mRNA codon recognition, and the 3' end, to which the tRNAs corresponding amino acid is attached (by aminoacyl-tRNA synthetases). tRNAs cope with the degeneracy of the genetic code in two manners: having more than one tRNA (with a specific anti-codon) for a particular amino acid; and 'wobble' base-pairing, i.e. permitting non-standard base-pairing at the 3rd anti-codon position. Lineage: Bacteria; Pseudomonadati; Bacteroidota; Bacteroidia; Bacteroidales. The record is from RNAcentral. RNAcentral also lists the same sequence under 1 other name.